AUUCCAGCUCCAAUAGCGUAUAUUAAAGUUGUUGUGGUUAAAAAGCUCGUAGUUGGAUCUCGGCGGUCUGAGGGCGGUUCGCUUCAGAGCGCUACUGCCCUAUAGACCGUAGUUUUGCCAGAGGUCUCAGGGUGCUCUUAACCGAGUGUCUUGCGAUGCUGGCAGGUUUACUUUGAAAAAAUUAGAGUGCUCAAAGCAGGCUUUUACGCCUGAAUAUUCGUGCAUGGAAUAAUAGAAUAGGAAGUCGUUUCUAUUUUGUUGGUUUUCGGAAAUCGACUUAAUGAUUAAUAGGGACAGUUGGGGGCAUCCAUAUUUCAUUGUCAGAGGUGAAAUUCUUGGAUUUAUGAAAGAUGAACUUCUGCGAAAGCAUUUGCCAAGGAUGUUUUCAUCA
This 391-nucleotide ribosomal RNA is filed under the name Pseudocalanus sp. RNAcentral's name for it is "partial small subunit ribosomal RNA". It matches the Rfam family "Eukaryotic small subunit ribosomal RNA", at positions 582 to 975 of the family's 1831-position model. Lineage: Eukaryota; Metazoa; Arthropoda; Copepoda; Calanoida; Clausocalanidae. The record is from RNAcentral.